AAGUCGUAACAAGGUAACCGUAGGUGAACCUGCGGUUGGAUCAUUAAUAAAUUUGGAAAUUUCAAAUUUCCGAACCUUGUGUGCACUAGUAUCUGUCUCUGGCAGGGUUUAACUGGGGUUUCGAGCUUGGGUGUAACAACCUGGGAUUUGGAAUCCCCUGCCUGCCGAAAGGCGUCCGGUUUCAACUGGGCGCCUUGUAUUGAAUAAACCAAUGUAUGAAUUUUUUAUAGUCUGAUUCUAUUCACUUUGUGUGAAAUGGAAAAAACAACUUUUGACAACGGAUCUCUUGGCUCUC
RNAcentral lists this unclassified non-coding RNA (295 nucleotides) under fungal sp. RNAcentral describes it as "partial internal transcribed spacer region". The stretch from base 1 to 46 matches the Rfam family "Eukaryotic small subunit ribosomal RNA", at positions 1786 to 1831 of the family's 1831-position model. Lineage: Eukaryota; Fungi. The record is from RNAcentral.